UAUCUCUCCGUACGGGGAAGGAUGAGAAGCUUCGACUAAGGUUCGAUUCGAGCGAAAGCGAGAAAGCGUUGCCAACGGCAACGACCCGAAGGGCGAAGCGCGCAGCACUGAGUCAACCUUCCCCCACCACCA
RNAcentral lists this small RNA (132 nucleotides) under Salmonella enterica. RNAcentral describes it as "RtT sRNA". It matches the Rfam family "RtT RNA". From Rfam's summary of the family: This family represents a bacterial cis-regulatory element known as RtT RNA. RNAcentral also lists the same sequence under 2 other names. Lineage: Bacteria; Pseudomonadati; Pseudomonadota; Gammaproteobacteria; Enterobacterales; Enterobacteriaceae. The record is from RNAcentral.